RNAcentral lists this ribosomal RNA (429 nucleotides) under Pseudomonadota bacterium. RNAcentral describes it as "Proteobacteria bacterium partial 16S ribosomal RNA". It matches the Rfam family "Bacterial small subunit ribosomal RNA", at positions 355 to 776 of the family's 1533-position model. Lineage: Bacteria; Pseudomonadati; Pseudomonadota. The record is from RNAcentral.
UGGGGAAUAUUGGACAAUGGGCGAAAGCCUGAUCCAGCCAUGUCGCGUGUGUGAAGAAGGUCUUCGGAUUGUAAAGCACUUUAAGUUGGGAGGAAGGGCAGUAAGCGAAUACCUUGCUGUUUUGACGUUACCGACAGAAUAAGCACCGGCUAACUCUGUGCCAGCAGCCGCGGUAAUACAGAGGGUGCAAGCGUUAAUCGGAAUUACUGGGCGUAAAGCGCGCGUAGGUGGUUCGUUAAGUUGAAUGUGAAAGCCCCGGGCUCAACCUGGGAACUGCAUCCAAAACUGGCGAGCUAGAGUAGGGCAGAGGGUGGUGGAAUUUCCUGUGUAGCGGUGAAAUGCGUAGAUAUAGGAAGGAACACCAGUGGCGAAGGCGACCACCUGGGCUCAUACUGACACUGAGGUGCGAAAGCGUGGGGAGCAAACAGG